RNAcentral lists this transfer RNA (72 nucleotides) under Mercenaria mercenaria. RNAcentral's name for it is "transfer RNA isoleucine (anticodon UAU)". The stretch from base 4 to 67 matches the Rfam family "tRNA", at positions 5 to 66 of the family's 71-position model. From Rfam's summary of the family: Transfer RNA (tRNA) molecules are approximately 80 nucleotides in length. Their secondary structure includes four short double-helical elements and three loops (D, anti-codon, and T loops). Lineage: Eukaryota; Metazoa; Mollusca; Bivalvia; Venerida; Veneridae. The record is from RNAcentral.
GCCAGUUAGCUCAGUCGGUAGAGCACUCGCUCUAUAAGCGCGGGGUCCCGGGUUCGAGCCCCGGACUAAAUG